AAGGUAGAGGAGCUGAGACGGAACGAGAAUGCUUUUCUUCUUGCUUGGCUUGGCCUCGUGGCGUCAUCCUCGUCCAAGGCCUUCUUCUAGCUGCUUCAGGCUUUCUUCCAGAAGAGUUGGAUAAGUUGUUUGUGAAGUACGUGUAUCCGGUGUUCACUCCUUCUGUUGGAUUAUUUGUGGCUGGAACUACUGCAUAUGGAGUUCUUAAGUACUUACAAAAUGAGAAACUCAAGGAUCAAAAGUGAUACACACACACACACACCUUUGGAUAUUUUGAGCUAGCCUGUGAUUGUGAGAGGUUGGUUGUUCAAUGGUUUAGGGUAAGUGUGUUUGUGUGUUGAUCUGAUCUUUGUUCUUGUAUAUGCAAAGAGAUGGUUAUGUUAAAUUAAAAAAAUAUGUUGGGAGAUAUAUUCAGGUGCUA
Molecule: long non-coding RNA, 421 nt
Organism: Raphanus sativus (radish)
Lineage: Eukaryota; Viridiplantae; Streptophyta; Magnoliopsida; Brassicales; Brassicaceae
Exons: 2
Source: RefSeq, a predicted model, not a curated record